Lathyrus oleraceus (garden pea) is the source of this 1496-nucleotide long non-coding RNA. RefSeq lists it as uncharacterized. The transcript has 2 exons. The record is from RefSeq and is a predicted model, not a curated record. NCBI's taxonomy places the organism in Eukaryota, Viridiplantae, Streptophyta, Magnoliopsida, Fabales, Fabaceae.
AGAAACAUUAGCCCAAGCACAUUUGUUCAAGAACCAAAAAUAGAAAGGGAUGAGAAAGUCCAGAAUGCGCGCUACUUUAAAUUGAAUACCCACCGUCUCCACCACGUCGGCGUCGCCUCCGGUAGUGGCGGAGAAACCAUAAUGAAUAAUGAAUCACAUCAGAAUUCUCCUCUCUUUAUCCUAAGCUCGAAUUCGGUAAUGAAAAGUUCAGAACAAAAGCAACGAAGUUGGAUGGAUGUUUUCCUUCGAAGAACCCUAAGCUUCAAAAAUUAAAUUAAAUGAUGAUGGUGAGCUUCUUCUGGCAAUUGUUUGAGGGUUUUUGAUCCACGAAGCAUGCACAACAUCUUGGUAACUUCAGCUUGAGGAAUGGAUGAAGAUGAAACUUCCGGCACGGUGGUUAUGGUGAAUAUAAGCUGAAGAAGAUGAGCUUUGAACAGGAAUGAUUUGUUUGUUUUUGAUCUCUCUUUCUCUUAUGCUUGCUUAUUCUUCUUCUGGUGUGAGAUUCUGAUUAGAGGAACUCGUGGAUGAAUUAAAUGUUAAUUUAGUGAGGUUAUAGAGAUUUAGGUUGAGAGUGAGAGGGAGAAUUUUGGCUGAGUGAGUGGAUUGGUUGUGAUAAAUAGACUGGUUUUGUUUUUGAACUGGUUUGGUUUGUCAUUAUUUUGCAGGGCUUGGCUCUUGACUGCAUUGCCAAUGUGUUGCAGUUGUUGUUUUGCUGCAUUGUCAUGGAAUAUUGUUAACUUAGGCUGCCAAAUUGAAACAGGAUGGUAAUGUAUGGCAAGGUCUAUUGUUGGUUUGAUUGAGCAUUUAUGGGACUGAUUUGCAGGUUUGAUAUGGUUGUUGGAUGUGUUGUUGUGACUGUAUUGUCAUGAUAUAUUGCUGCAUAUUGGUUGUGUUCAUGUUAGCUUGGCCUUGGUGACAUUGCUUGAUAUUGUUUGGUGCAUUACAGGCUUUGAAGCCCAUUACCAUUGAUGCAGUUAUGUGUUGCAGGAUUAAGUGUGCAUGGCAUUGUUGUUGUUCUUAAGAAUUGAGGAUUGCUACAGGAUAAUUGAUGUUGUUGCUGACCUGUUACAGGACUGCAUUGUUGUAAUUAUUGUUGCAAGAUCAUGUUGUAGGUUACUUGGACAGCUUGGUGCAGGCUUGCUAUGCAUUGAUGGACACUCUAAAUUAAGAGAAAGUAGGCAAACCUCCAUGGCCAUAUGCAAAGCAAACUUACUUGAAAUGGAAACACUCUUAAAUGGAAGGUUACAUGAUGUGAUGUAAUGAAGCAUGAAGAAUGAAAGAUGAUGUUAUGAAUUUUAGAAUCUUGAGAAAAAGUGUGUUGACUUUGGUCAAAGUUUACCAAAAAGUCAAUUGUUGACCAAAGUCAACCUUAGUCAAAAGUUGUAUUUUUUCCAAUUUUCUUUUGUAAAAUAAUGUAAUCGGCAUUUGUAUGCAUGGAUCUUCUUGUAACAUGCCUUUUUGAAUGUAAUGAAUAAUGUUUUAAUUGGCUACUAAAA